CUGCCCUUAGCUCAGUUGGAUAGAGCACAAGCCUUCUAAGUUUGGGGUCACAGGUUCGAGUCCUGUAGGGCAGGCCA
Molecule: transfer RNA, 77 nt
Filed under: Alcaligenaceae bacterium
Lineage: Bacteria; Pseudomonadati; Pseudomonadota; Betaproteobacteria; Burkholderiales; Alcaligenaceae
Description: tRNA-Arg
Rfam family: tRNA
About the family: Transfer RNA (tRNA) molecules are approximately 80 nucleotides in length. Their secondary structure includes four short double-helical elements and three loops (D, anti-codon, and T loops). Further hydrogen bonds mediate the characteristic L-shaped molecular structure. tRNAs have two regions of fundamental functional importance: the anti-codon, which is responsible for specific mRNA codon recognition, and the 3' end, to which the tRNAs corresponding amino acid is attached (by aminoacyl-tRNA synthetases). tRNAs cope with the degeneracy of the genetic code in two manners: having more than one tRNA (with a specific anti-codon) for a particular amino acid; and 'wobble' base-pairing, i.e. permitting non-standard base-pairing at the 3rd anti-codon position.
Source: RNAcentral